GUGUUUUUUGUAAACAAACUUGUUUCGCUCAUUAGUCUGCUGCAGUGUGGAAUUUCAUGAAAAAUAUGCGUUAAUGUAAAUUUUUACCCUUCGUAGAAGUAAUUUCAAUUGUUUUCUGCUUUGAAAUUAUAGUAAAUUAAGAGAAACCAUCAAAAUAAAAGUUUGUUUACAAAUCUUAUUCGCCCUUUUGUAAAUUUAAUAUGGAGUUGACUAUAAAUAUUGCAUUAUUCAACAAUCUGUUUUCAACUAUAGUAUACCAAGAAGCGCAGUGCUAGUUCAGCAACACAGAAAUAUACCUCAGAAGAAUCAACUUUCACCGCUGACCAGUGCGGUCGAGAAAAUUUCCGGCGAAUCCAAUGCAGCAACAACGUCCACUUUCAGUACCGCAAUACAAAGCGAUCCAACAGCGUGGGAAAUUUUAUCGCAAAAUUUUAUAUCAGCGCAACAGCUAUGUAUACCAAAAGCGAUACCACGUCGAUGGCCGAAAUGAUUUUUGGUUCUGCACCUAUAGUCUUCCAGGACAGCAGUUUGAAGCCAACAGUAGCAGCAACAGCAGUAAAAAAGUAUCCACUUCCACCUACUUGGGCUAUGAACUGCCAAGUAUCGGUCAGAAUGCACUAUACAACGGCCGACAUACGUCGGAAAGUGAUCGUAGCUCCAUAGGUACAACGUCACUACGGUCGUUUACUGUUACUUCGUCCACUUUGAUGUAAUAUGAUACUUCGUACAACCACAGACAAAGGCCACCACUGCCAAUCGAGUUUGCGCAUUUGUAGCAUCUGGCAGAUCCGAGACUUUCAACCAAAAGUGGCCUUGACUCAGGGUAUGGUGGAACGGAACCUUGGGCGUUUUCAUCAAGUCAACCACGCCAUCGCACCGAAACAGUCUAGCAUCAAUUUCUAGUGAUUUCGAGUGUUUUCGAAGACUUAGUUUAGAUACCAGUAUUGAUAUUUCACAGUCUCUGAAUUGCACAAGUUUAGACGACUAUAGUCAGUAUGGCAGCUUUCAUCGAGGUCAAUACGACCGGUUCGGUGAACAUUAGCAGUCAAGUGACAGCGAGCGAUGGUUGCGCCGGUGGUAAAAAUCGACGGAAUAGUGAAACCAUAGUACUGACUAGACAAAAAGCGUUUAGCGGGGAAGUUCUUUCCACUGCAACCAAUUAUCACGGGAGACCUUUGCACAAAAAGGCACGUCUAGGAAUUGUGCUGUGCGUUCAACUAAACGAUGACAUGCUGCAGGAAAUUGAAGCAUUCAGCUCGGAACACAUGAGUAUAUUUGAAUCAAUGCUGUGUCGUUUAAGAAUGGCGGCGGAAAACGCAAGCUACAGGUAGCCGCAGUUACUCCAGAUAAUGCUGGUUGCCGGCAUAACGCAGCAGUGCCCAGUGGAUUUUUUUACUGUACCCAAACUGGUAAAUCCCAUGUGGCUAACGCUAAGCAGUGGUGCGUGCACUCUUGGAACUCAAAGCAGUACAUGUUCUAAUCGGGCUGCGCUUAAAAUUGAUAAUAAUUUUAUGAACGAUCUUUGUUACCUGCUAUUGCUGGCCAACAUUAAGGAUACACAUUUUUUAAUCAGCGCACUACUAACGGCGAUAUUAAAGUACUACCUGGGCUGGGUGAGUACCAUUGCCCCUGUGAGUGGUUCCGCUUACGAAGCAGAUACAGAUUGUGCUACAAUACAGCGAUAGAAGGAGAAGCGGUGCAAACUAACUACCAAUCACCCGUACAUCAUACUGUGGGUCCAAUGUAGCUAUUUGUAUGGAACCGUCGGACACCCGGUGAAACUGUCGAGAACAAUGAUCUGCAGAAGCCCCCAAUUGAGCAAUACCAUGGAUAAAAUUCUAAAUGAGCUAUCUUACUUCGUAAGAUGUAGCGAGAUCAAGCGGGUUGUCCUCGUAGAGGCUUUCGACGAGUAUAAAGCUGAGCAGGCAUUCGCUGCGCAAAAGAUUAUAAAUAAUUAUUCGCUCCUUAUGUUAAUUGUUAACUUUAACCAAAAAUGCUUUUCCUUGACCUGAUGUACAGUGUAAACUAACAGAUUUUCGUACGUAAUAAAACUGCAAAAUAACGAAAAAUACAAAUUAUAGCAACAGUGUCAUAAGGUUUGGUGGAAAUAACUGUGGAGAAAAUAGAGGAUUACACAAAUCCCCCAGAUUCUUGCGAUCCGGAUCUGCGAUGGUUCGUUCGGCAACCACGACCAAAGACUAAACUUCGAUGGCUGGUAAUGAAUAAGUCUUGCUGGGAGCGAACUGGUCGGAGUUACGUCAGACCGGGCUAAGUGACAAUAUAUUGAUUUCGAGAAAAGCAAGUUUAAAGUUUAAAUUGUAGCAUACUUUAUAUUGUAUAUACUAUUGAGGAAAGGAUAACAGUUGACUGAACAGUUCCAGAUUGCCAUUCGUAUUAGUUUCCAGACAAGUGUCCGACUGAAAGUUGGGAAGGGCGUAUGCAAGUUGGUUACUUAUAUGGCUGAAACUAGAAUAUAGUUAUUGCGUUUUUUGCUAUAGCAUACCAUCCGAGAAUACACAAUUGAUAGCUUCAUAAACUAACCGGUUCCAUGUAAUUUUACGGUGCGUUCUCCAAAUUGCAAUCUUCUUAACAAUCUUUUUUUCAAUAGUUUUUUACAAAUCUCGUACAUUCAGUGCAUUUUUGUACAAGUAAAUUCCAUCGUGAAUACAACCGGUGGGAGCUUCAUGAGAUCGAUUGA
Molecule: long non-coding RNA, 2698 nt
Organism: Topomyia yanbarensis
Lineage: Eukaryota; Metazoa; Arthropoda; Insecta; Diptera; Culicidae
Exons: 4
Source: RefSeq, a predicted model, not a curated record